CAGGCUAUAGCUUUAAAAGUAUUUUAUUUACACUAAAAAGGUUGUCAUUUAUUUGAUAUAGCUUGA
RNAcentral lists this transfer RNA (66 nucleotides) under Trigonopterus sp. 3 AH-2016. Its description in RNAcentral is "tRNA-Val". Lineage: Eukaryota; Metazoa; Arthropoda; Insecta; Coleoptera; Curculionidae. The record is from RNAcentral.